UGCCCAGACUCCUACGGGAGGCAGCAGUGAGGAAUAUUGGUCAAUGGGCGGGAGCCUGAACCAGCCAAGUCGCGUGAGGGACGACGGUCCUAUGGAUUGUAAACCUCUUUUGUCGGGGAACAAAGGCGCCCACGGGUGGGCGGAUGAGUGUACCCGAAGAAAAAGCAUCGGCUAACUCCGUGCCAGCAGCCGCGGUAAUACGGAGGAUGCGAGCGUUAUCCGGAUUUAUUGGGUUUAAAGGGUGCGCAGGCGGAGGUGCAAGUCAGUGGUCAAAUUGCGGGGCUCAACCCCGUCCUGCCGUUGAAACUGCAUCCCUUGAGUGCGCGAGAAGUAUGCGGAAUGCGUGGUGUAGCGGUGAAAUGCAUAGAUAUUAGGAGGAACACCAGUGGCGGAGGCGGCUUACUGGACGGUAACUGACGCUGAGGCUCGAAAGCGUGGGGAGCAAACAGGAUUAGAUACCCGAGUAU
Molecule: ribosomal RNA, 467 nt
Filed under: uncultured bacterium
Lineage: Bacteria
Description: bacterial SSU rRNA
Rfam family: Bacterial small subunit ribosomal RNA
Source: RNAcentral